This 512-nucleotide ribosomal RNA is filed under the name uncultured ciliate. RNAcentral's name for it is "SSU rRNA". It matches the Rfam family "Eukaryotic small subunit ribosomal RNA", at positions 1 to 531 of the family's 1831-position model. The record is from RNAcentral. Lineage: Eukaryota; Ciliophora.
ACCUGGUUGAUCCUGCCAGUAGUCAUAUGCUUGUCUUAAAGAUUAAGCCAUGCAUGUCUAAGUAUAAGUAUCAUACAGCGAAACUGCGAAUGGCUCAUUAAAACAGUUAUAGUUUAUUUGAUAGUUCGAAAUGGAUAACUGUAGCAAUUCUAGAGCUAAUACAUGCAUAAACACCGGACCUCACGGAAAGGUGGUAUUUAUUAGAUAUAAACCUUCACCUUCAUGGUGACUGAUGAUUCAUAAUAACUUCACUGAUCGCUGUUCUCAGCGAUAAAUCAUUCAAGUUUCUGCCCUAUCAGCUUUAGAUGGUAGUGUAUUGGACUACCAUGGCGAUCACGGGUAACGGAGAAUUAGGGUUCGAUUCCGGAGAGGGAGCCUGAGAAACGGCUACCACUUCUAAGGAAGGCAGCAGGCGCGUAAAUUACCCAAUCCUGACUUAGGGAGGUAGUGACAAGAAAUAACGACUCGGGACUUACAAAGUUUACGAGAUUGUAAUGAAAACAAUUUAAAAC